This 253-nucleotide ribosomal RNA is filed under the name uncultured bacterium. Its description in RNAcentral is "partial 16S ribosomal RNA". It matches the Rfam family "Bacterial small subunit ribosomal RNA", at positions 524 to 776 of the family's 1533-position model. The record is from RNAcentral.
UACGUAGGGUGCAAGCGUUAAUCGGAAUUACUGGGCGUAAAGCGUGCGCAGGCGGCUUUGCAAGACAGAUGUGAAAUCCCCGGGCUCAACCUGGGAACUGCAUUUGUGACUGCAAGGCUGGAGUACGGCAGAGGGGGAUGGAAUUCCGCGCGUAGCAGUGAAAUGCGUAGAUAUGCGGAGGAACACCGAUGGCGAAGGCAAUCCCCUGGGCCUGUACUGACGCUCAUGCACGAAAGCGUGGGGAGCAAACAGG